UUACAGAGUUAUUAAACUCCCAUACCAUUUGCCAACUUACCUAGCUAUGCCUCGGCGUAAGCUCGGCCGGGAGGCGCGUCGUCGAGACAAGUGAGGGUGCUACCCUGUAGCCUCUCGUCUCCCCGGCGCGCCGCACUCCCGCCGUAGCCCGCCGGCGGUACACUAAACUCUUGUUUAAUUGUAUGUUCUGAGCGUCUUAUUUUAAUAAGUCAAAACUUUCAACAACGGAUCUCUUGGUUCUGGCAUCGAUGAAGAACGCAGCGAAAUGCGAUAAGUAAUGUGAAUUGCAGAAUUCAGUGAAUCAUCGAAUCUUUGAACGCACAUUGCGCCCAUUAGUAUUCUAGUGGGCAUGCCUGUUCGAGCGUCAUUUCAACCCUUAAGCCUAGCUUAGUGUUGGGAAUCUACCGCACGGUAGUUCCUUAAAGACAGUGGCAGAGCGAUAGGUGUCCUCUGAGCGUAGUAAUUUCUAUUUCUCGCUUCUGUUAGGCCCUACGGUCCCGCCGUAAAACCCCCCCUUCUCCAAAGGUUGACCUCGGAUCAGGUAGGAAUACCCGCUGAACUUAAGCAUAUCAAUAAGCGGAGGAAAAGAAACCAACAGGGAUUCCCCUAGUAACGGCGAGUGAAGCGGGAACAGCUCAAAU
RNAcentral lists this ribosomal RNA (641 nucleotides) under fungal endophyte. RNAcentral describes it as "eukaryotic LSU rRNA". The stretch from base 214 to 367 matches the Rfam family "5.8S ribosomal RNA". The record is from RNAcentral. Lineage: Eukaryota; Fungi.